AGCGAACGCUGGCGGCGUACUUAACACAUGCAAGUCGAACGGGGAUCGACACGUGAGCAAUCACGUGGCGGUCUUAGUGGCGUACGGGUGGGUAACACGUGGGCAACCUGCCCUUGAGUCUGGGAUAACCUCCCGAAAGGGAGGCUAAUACCGGAUACGGUCCUCGGGUCGCGAGAUCUGAGGAAGAAAGGUGGCGCAAGCUACCGCUCUUGGAGGGACUCGCGGCCUAUCAGCAGUUGGUGAGGUAACGGCUCACCAAGGCUAUGACGGGUAGCUGGUCUGAGAGGACGACCAGCCACAC
This 301-nucleotide ribosomal RNA is filed under the name uncultured bacterium. Its description in RNAcentral is "bacterial SSU rRNA". It matches the Rfam family "Bacterial small subunit ribosomal RNA", at positions 29 to 313 of the family's 1533-position model. The record is from RNAcentral.